UGCAGUCGACGCUUCUUUUUCCACCGGAGCUUGCUCCACCGGAAAAAGAGGAGUGGCGAACGGGUGAGUAACACGUGGGUAACCUGCCCAUCAGAAGGGGAUAACACUUGGAAACAGGUGCUAAUACCGUAUAACAAUCGAAACCGCAUGGUUUUGAUUUGAAAGGCGCUUUCGGGUGUCGCUGAUGGAUGGACCCGCGGUGCAUUAGCUAGUUGGUGAGGUAACGGCUCACCAAGGCCACGAUGCAUAGCCGACCUGAGAGGGUGAUCGGCCACAUUGGGACUGAGACACGGCCCAAACUCCUACGGGAGGCAGCAGUAGGGAAUCUUCGGCAAUGGACGAAAGUCUGACCGAGCAACGCCGCGUGAGUGAAGAAGGUUUUCGGAUCGUAAAACUCUGUUGUUAGAGAAGAACAAGGAUGAGAGUAACUGUUCAUCCCUUGACGGUAUCUAACCAGAAAGCCACGGCUAACUACGUGCCAGCAGCCGCGGUAAUACGUAGGUGGCAAGCGUUGUCCGGAUUUAUUGGGCGUAAAGCGAGCGCAGGCGGUUUCUUAAGUCUGAUGUGAAAGCCCCCGGCUCAACCGGGGAGGGUCAUUGGAAACUGGGAGACUUGAGUGCAGAAGAGGAGAGUGGAAUUCCAUGUGUAGCGGUGAAAUGCGUAGAUAUAUGGAGGAACACCAGUGGCGAAGGCGGCUCUCUGGUCUGUAACUGACGCUGAAGCUCGAAAGCGUGGGGAGCAACAGGAUAGAUACCUGGUAGUCACGCCGUAA
This 772-nucleotide ribosomal RNA is filed under the name uncultured bacterium. Its description in RNAcentral is "bacterial SSU rRNA". It matches the Rfam family "Bacterial small subunit ribosomal RNA", at positions 56 to 805 of the family's 1533-position model. The record is from RNAcentral.